Molecule: unclassified non-coding RNA, 262 nt
Filed under: soil metagenome
Description: partial internal transcribed spacer 1
Source: RNAcentral
ACAAAGAAAGGGACUUCGUUCGUUCUUUGUAGUUUAAUUCGUUCGGUCGUUCUUGUAGUUUGGUUCGUUCGUUCGUUUUUUAAAAAUGUGUCCCCACAUUUUGUGAACUGUAAAGUCUCUGGCGGCUGGGUGUAACUAACCUUAGGGCCAUGUUGCAUCUGUCAACUUGAGAAAUCAGGUCGUGGACAAACCGCCAACCAUCUGUUUUGACUUGAUGUAUUUAUAUUUUUUAUCUAACAUUUACUUGUAUAAAUUAUACAAA